RNAcentral lists this long non-coding RNA (2010 nucleotides) under Gallus gallus (chicken). Lineage: Eukaryota; Metazoa; Chordata; Aves; Galliformes; Phasianidae. The record is from RNAcentral.
GUCCAAGUGCACCAUCCUGGGAGAACCAUGGCAAAGAAAGGAGACAGAGACAGCCAGCAGGUGAGAUGCAAUCGCAUGAGAUCUGAGGGAAUGCUGGCAACACUGCAGAGAGUUACGGUAACGGAGGAGCUCCUACAAAGCUGAGAGAUGCUGCCGUGCUGUGCAGCCAGAACAGAACAUGGCAGAAUUCCAGGAGGACUCCGGGAAAUCCUCUCUGCUGAGGAGCAGUCUGAAAGCAUGGGCCAGCAUGGAGGGACCAACAGAUUCAAAGCUUUAUUAUUUUCUUUUUUAAUAAAGUUAACAGUAAAACAAAAUCCACAAGCCUUCCCUUCCCCGAGCUGGUUUCCUCUUCACACACAAACGCACACAAACUGAGGUCUCCAACCGAGAGAAAUGAAACUGCUCUAAGUACAAUGAGACAUGAUGGAGGAAGGAGUCUAAGUAUGUCCGUAUUCAAGGCUAAAAGCAGCAGAGCAGUGUGUGUGUGUUUUAGCCAAACUGGAAAAAGAAAUUUCCAGGCCCAGAAGCUUCAAAACUGAAGCCUCCCGGCCCACCAAAGAAGGCCUUAAAUAUAUUAUUUGCAUCGAAGUCUCCCAUGUUCAACCCAUCUUCUUCUAGAUCCUGUCCACUGUCAUAGCGGGCCUUCUUCUUGGGAUCUGACAAGAUGGUAAAGGCUUCACCGACCUCCUUAAACUUCUUCUCCUCUUCCUUCUGUACUUCUGCACUUGCCCCACUGUGUCGGUCUGGAUGAUGCAUGAGUGCUCUUUUCCUGUAGGCCUUCUUGAUCUCAUCUUCAGAGGCAUUUUUGUCGACCCCGAGGAUUUUGUAGUAGUCUUUCCGUUUGCUUUUUUUCAGUUCCAUCUGUGCAUUCUUUAGAAGCUGUUUGUGUUCUUUUGUUUUUUCUGUCUGGUAAACUUUUUCAUAGUCUCUUACAGCAUCUUCAUAUUGCUCUGUGUCCAUGUAACACUGUGCUCUCCUCAAGUAUGCUUUAAUAUACGUCUCAUCCAGUUUUACUGCAUUCGUGCAGUCAUCUAUUGCUUCUUCAAGUUUCCUAAGCUUUGAAUUAACCGUCCCCCGGUUGCAGUAGAGUUUGGCAUUUGUUUUUAUGUUAUUAGGAUCUAUUCCUAGUGCUUCUGUGUACAGUUCAUAAGCUAGUUUGUAGUUGCCUUCUUUAAAUGCUUUAUUCCCAUCUUCCUUCUUUGCUUUAAGUGCUUUGGCAUUACGGCAGGCUAAACAUGCUUUCUCAUGGUCAGGAGCCAUUCUGAGUGCUUGGACAAAGAACUGCACUGCCUUCUCAAUACAGUCCUCGUAAUAAAGGCAGAGACCACGGACAUACAGCGCGUCUGCGUUUGUUGAGUCCAUUCGUAAGAUGUCACUUGCUACAGACUGUGCUUCUGGGUAACGACCCAGUAACGCUAAACAUUCAGCCUUGAGGAUUUUGAAUCGGUGACAAGCAGGAGCAAACUCCAGAGCACGAUCCAUGCAAAAUACAACCUUCCUGAAAUCUCGCUUCUCAAAAUCCACUUCUGCUAUUUUUUCAUACUCCAGCACUGUACUGGCAUUCUUUAGCUCUUGCUGUGCCUGAGUGUUCUUAUGAUCCAGUUCUAAAACUCGUUGGAAGCAGCGGCUGGCAGCCAUGGCAUUCCCAAGGGAGAGAUGGCACUUCCCUUCCCGUAGAUGGCCCCUUACAAAGCUGUCAUCCAAUCUGACAGACUGCUGAGCAUCUCCCAGUGCUUCUCGGAAUCUCCCCAGCAUCAUGAGGGUGGCAGCUCUGUUACCAUAAUAACUGGCAUUGUUAGGACAGGUAUCUAUGGCUUUUGUGUAGUAGUUGUAUGCUUCGUUGUAAUCCUUCUUGGCAUAGUAUGCAUUUCCUUGUUCCUUGAAAGACUCUGCUUCUCUCCGCGCCUCCUCCUCGCUCUCGGGCUCGCCGGGUCCCUCGGGCGCCGCCAUGAUCACAUCGCACUCGGCUGCCGCCGCCAUCUUACCGCCAGGCCGGAUGGGGGCGGGGCG